GAUAAACGCUGGCGGCGCACAUAAGACAUGCAAGUCGAACGGACUUAACCGUUAGUUUACUAAUGGAGCGGUUAGUGGCGGACUGGUGAGUAACGCGUGAGCAACCUGCCUAUCAGAGGGGAACAACAGUUAGAAAUGACUGCUAAUACCGCAUAUGCCUAAGUAUCACAUGAUACAAUAGGGAAAGGAGCAAUCCGCUGAUAGAUGGGCUCGCGUCUGAUUAGAUAGUUGGUGGGGUAACGGCCUACCAAGUCAACGAUCAGUAGCCGGACUGAGAGGUUCAACGGCCACAUUGGGACUGAGAUACGGCCCAGACUCC
Molecule: ribosomal RNA, 319 nt
Filed under: uncultured Oscillospiraceae bacterium
Lineage: Bacteria; Bacillati; Bacillota; Clostridia; Eubacteriales; Oscillospiraceae
Description: bacterial SSU rRNA
Rfam family: Bacterial small subunit ribosomal RNA
Source: RNAcentral